AGAUUGAACGCUGGCGGCAGGCCUAACACAUGCAAGUCGAGCGGUAGAGAGGUGCUUGCGUCUCUUGAGAGCGGCGGACGGGUGAGUAAUGCCUAGGAAUCUGCCUAGUGGUGGGGGAUAACGUUCGGAAACGGACGCUAAUACCGCAUACGUCCUACGGGAGAAAGUGGGGGAUCUUCGGACCUCACGCUAUCAGAUGAGCCUAGGUCGGAUUAGCUAGUUGGUAGGGUAAAGCCUACCAAGGCUACGAUCCGUAACUGGUCUGAGAGGAUGAUCAGUCACACUGGAACUGAGACACGGUCCAGACUCCGUACGGGAGGCAGCAGGUGGGGAAUAGUUGGACAAGUGGGGACGAAAGCCUGACUCCAGCCAUCGCGCGUGUGAGGAAGUAAGGUCGUUACGAUUAGUAAGCGUAACGUUUAAGGUGGAAGGAAGGACUAAGUUAACCUAAGUACGUUAGUUCGUUU
Molecule: ribosomal RNA, 467 nt
Filed under: uncultured soil bacterium
Lineage: Bacteria
Description: bacterial SSU rRNA
Rfam family: Bacterial small subunit ribosomal RNA
Source: RNAcentral